AGCAGCCGCGGUAAUUCCAGCUCCGAUAGCGUAUAUUAAAGUUGUUGCAGUUAAAAAGCUCGGAGUUGAAUUUCGGGGUCUGUCCGUCGGUCGGGCUUUACGGUCCGUACUGGUGUGAUGGGUUCCUACCUUCUGAAUAACCGGCAUGCCAUUCAGUUGGUGCGCCGGGGAAGCAGAGCUAUUACCUUGAAAAAAUUAAAGUGCUUAAAGCAGGCUAGUGCUUGAAUAGAUUACCAUGGAAUAAUAAAAUAGGACGGCAUGGUUCUAUUUUGGUGGUUUCUAAGAUCACCGUAAUGAUUAAUAGGGAUAGUUGGGGGCAUUAGUAUUCAAUUGUCAGAGGUGAAAUUCUUGGAUUUAUUGAAGACUAACUUCUGCGAGAGCAUUUGCCAAGGAUGUUUUCAUUAAUCAAGAGCGAAAGUUAGGGGAUCGAAGACAAUCAGAUACCGUCGUAGUCUUAACCAUAAACUAUGCCGACUAGGGAUCGGACGAUGUUAAUUUUUUAAUGACUCG
RNAcentral lists this ribosomal RNA (510 nucleotides) under uncultured Acaulospora. Its description in RNAcentral is "SSU rRNA". It matches the Rfam family "Eukaryotic small subunit ribosomal RNA", at positions 569 to 1078 of the family's 1831-position model. The record is from RNAcentral. Lineage: Eukaryota; Fungi; Glomeromycota; Glomeromycetes; Diversisporales; Acaulosporaceae.